AACAAAACCCUAGACACCACCAAAACAUCCUCUCUGCCUCUCCUCUCACAGCCAAGCAGAUCCCAAAAAAAAACCCUAGCCACCACCAAAGCAUUCUCUCUGCCUCUCCUCUCACCGCCGGCCAAAUGAAGCCAACACAUACCUCUCUACCACUGGUGACGACACUAGAGAAUGUAGAAGGAAAGUAUUGAGAGUUUGCACAGCGGAGGUGUGGUCAUCUGCAUCACUUCCGUAAGGACAUCAUCACAAAUCACUUUAGCUAUAGUUUUAACAUCUUCACUAUCUUCUUCCCCAACCUGAUUUAUAAAGGUUUUUGGCAGCGAUAACUGAUAACCUAUAUAAUGACCGGGCGUGGACGUGUCCCUUCUCCGGGGGAUGUAUCAAAAGGUGGGCGUGGACGUGUACCUUCUCCAAGGGAUGUAUCAAGUGGUGGGUGUGGACGUGUCCCUUCUCCGGGGGAUGUAUCAAGUGGUGUGCAUGGGCGUGGGCGUGGGCAUGCAUCUGUCCCUAGUGGUGGGCGGGGGUUGGAGUCAGGUGGUGGACGUGGGCGGGGUUCGGAGUCCGGUGGUGGAC
This is a long non-coding RNA of Helianthus annuus (common sunflower), 573 nucleotides long. RefSeq lists it as uncharacterized. The record is from RefSeq and is a predicted model, not a curated record. The transcript is spliced from 3 exons. Lineage: Eukaryota; Viridiplantae; Streptophyta; Magnoliopsida; Asterales; Asteraceae.